Molecule: non-coding RNA, 72 nt
Organism: Caenorhabditis brenneri
Lineage: Eukaryota; Metazoa; Nematoda; Chromadorea; Rhabditida; Rhabditidae
Source: the annotation of a GenBank genome assembly
GUCUCCGUGGUCUAGUGGAUAGCGCACCUGUUUUCGAAAUUUUGAUCGCGGGUUCGAACCCCACCAGGGCCA